GCUGGCUGUUCAGAGGUGGGUGCCCUGUGUGGGGAGGCUCUUUGAUUCCUGGGGAGGAAGGCUAGAGAACAGGCAGCUCUUUUCUCUCUGCUAGAAAAGAGGAGGCGGCUCCUCACAAGGUUCCUUCCCACAGCUGAGCACUGCCCACAGCUGCCCUUGCCCCUGCCUUUCCACGUUGCACAAGCCCAGCGCACGGUACCCACUGGAUAUGCCCGAGGCCUCCAGAGGAAAGGAAAGGAGGAAAAGGGACAGAAGAAAUGUUCACAGGAACUGCAUAUGGGCCUGCUACUUGUGUCAAAAUGUGACUGAACUCUCUUCCAGCAGUGUGAAUCCCUGGAAGGCAAGAUCGCCAUUCUGGUCUCUUGUGGAUAUCAAUGCUGAUCUCAGCUUCUGAUGCACGGCAGUCAAUUAAUAAAUGAUUGUUGCCUGAAAAACUGAGCCCCAAAACAAUAUUACAAGUUUAAUAUCAGUAAAGGAUUUAAUGCUUUCUAACAUGAAGAUACCAGAAGUUGCUGAUUUUUGUAUAACCCAGAGAUGGAUUUAAAUGCAGAGUGUAUGAACUUCUUCAUUCCUGAGGGAGGACUUAUGAUUUCAUGAGAAAUGCCCUAGGAAAGGGGCCGGGGAGACUGAUGGAGAAGAAGAGUUUGGGAGAGUUUAACUGGACUGAAAGCAAUCUGGAGCACCGGCAAGGGGCAGAAGGAGAUUGAAAUGUAAAACACGUAGAAUGGAGACUGAUUUCAUCUCUCUUGAUUCUAAGCUCAUUUG
Molecule: long non-coding RNA, 765 nt
Filed under: Homo sapiens (human)
Lineage: Eukaryota; Metazoa; Chordata; Mammalia; Primates; Hominidae
Description: HSALNT0112798
Source: RNAcentral